Molecule: ribosomal RNA, 320 nt
Filed under: uncultured Prevotella sp.
Lineage: Bacteria; Pseudomonadati; Bacteroidota; Bacteroidia; Bacteroidales; Prevotellaceae
Description: partial 16S ribosomal RNA
Source: RNAcentral
GGAGUUUGGACCGUGUCUCAGUUCCAAUGUGGGGGACCUUCCUCUCAGAACCCCUACUGAUCGUUGACUAGGUGGGCCGUUACCCCGCCUACUAUCUAAUCAGACGCAUCCCCAUCCCUUAGCGAUGAAUCUUUGGUUUGAUUUUGAUGUCAGCAUCAAACAACAUAGGGAAUUAAUCCGACUUUCGCCGGGCUGUGCCCUACUAAGGGGAAGGUUGGAUACGCGUUACUCACCCGUGCGCCGGUCGCCAUCUAUCAAAGCAAGCUUCGAUAAUGAUGCCCCUCGACUUGCAUGUGUUAAGCCUGUAGCUAGCGUUCAUC